GACGAACGCUGGCGGCGUGCUUAACACAUGCAAGUCGAACGGAAAGGCCCUGCUUUUGUGGGGUGCUCGAGUGGCGAACGGGUGAGUAACACGUGAGUAACCUGCCCUUGACUUUGGGAUAACUUCAGGAAACUGGGGCUAAUACCGGAUAGGAGCUCCUGCUGCAUGGUGGGGGUUGGAAAGUUUCGGCGGUUGGGGAUGGACUCGCGGCUUAUCAGCUUGUUGGUGGGGUAGUGGCUUACCAAGGCUUUGACGGGUAGCCGGCCUGAGAGGGUGACCGGCCACAUUGGGACUGAGAUACGGCCCAGACUCCUACGGGAGGCAGCAGUGGGGAAUAUUGCACAAUGGGCGGAAGCCUGAUGCAGCAACGCCGCGUGCGGGAUGACGGCCUUCGGGUUGUAAACCGCUUUCGCCUGUGACGAAGCGUGAGUGACGGUAAUGGGUAAAGAAGCACCGGCUAACUACGUGCCAGCAGCCGCGGUGAUACGUAGGGUGCGAGCGUUGUCCGGAUUUAUUGGGCGUAAAGGGCUCGUAGGUGGUUGAUCGCGUCGGAAGUGUAAUCUUGGGGCUUAACCCUGAGCGUGCUUUCGAUACGGGUUGACUUGAGGAAGGUAGGGGAGAAUGGAAUUCCUGGUGGAGCGGUGGAAUGCGCAGAUAUCAGGAGGAACACCAGUGGCGAAGGCGGUUCUCUGGGCCUUUCCUGACGCUGAGGAGCGAAAGCGUGGGGAGCGAACAGGCUUAGAUACCCUGGUAGUCCACGCUGUAAACGGUGGGUACUAGGUGUGGGGUCCAUUCCACGGGUUCCGUGCCGUAGCUAACGCUUUAAGUACCCCGCCUGGGGAGUACGGCCGCAAGGCUAAAACUCAAAGGAAUUGACGGGGCCCCGCACAAGCGGCGGAGCAUGCGGAUUAAUUCGAUGCAACGCGUAGAACCUUACCUGGGUUUGACAUGGAUCGGGAGUGCUCAGAGAUGGGUGUGCCUCUUUUGGGGUCGGUUCACAGGUGGUGCAUGGCUGUCGUCAGCUCGUGUCGUGAGAUGUUGGGUUAAGUCCCGCAACGAGCGCAACCCUUGUUCACUGUUGCCAGCACGUUAUGGUGGGGACUCAGUGGAGACCGCCGGGGUCAACUCGGAGGAAGGUGGGGAUGACGUCAAGUCAUCAUGCCCCUUAUGUCCAGGGCUUCACGCAUGCUACAAUGGCUGGUACAGAGAGUGGCGAGCCUGUGAGGGUGAGCGAAUCUCGGAAAGCCGGUCUCAAUUCGGAUUGGGGUCUGCAACUCGACCUCAUGAAGUCGGAGUCGCUAGUAAUCGCAGAUCAGCAACGCUGCGGUGAAUACGUUCCCGGGGCU
This 1346-nucleotide ribosomal RNA is filed under the name uncultured bacterium. Its description in RNAcentral is "partial 16S ribosomal RNA". It matches the Rfam family "Bacterial small subunit ribosomal RNA", at positions 28 to 1381 of the family's 1533-position model. The record is from RNAcentral.